This 253-nucleotide ribosomal RNA is filed under the name uncultured bacterium. RNAcentral describes it as "partial 16S ribosomal RNA". It matches the Rfam family "Bacterial small subunit ribosomal RNA", at positions 524 to 776 of the family's 1533-position model. The record is from RNAcentral.
UACGUAGGGACCAAGCGUUGUUCGGAUUUACUGGGCGUAAAGGGCGCGUAGGCGGCUUAACAAGUCACUUGUGAAAUCUCCGGGCUUAACUCGGAACGGCCAAGUGAAACUGUCAAGCUAGAGUGCAGAAGGGGCAAUCGGAAUUCUUGGUGUAGCGGUGAAAUGCGUAGAUAUCAAGAGGAACACCUGAGGUGAAGACGGGUUGCUGGGCUGACACUGACGCUGAGGUGCGAAAGCGUGGGGAGCAAACAGG